UUACUGGGCGUAAAGCGGGCGCAGACGGUUACUUAAGCAGGAUGUGAAAUCCCCGGGCUCAACCUGGGAACUGCGUUCUGAACUGGGUGACUAGAGUGUGUCGGAGGGAGGUAGAAUUCCACGUGUAGCAGUGAAAUGCGUAGAGAUGUGGAGGAAUACCGAUGGCGAAGGCAGCCUCCUGGGAUAACACUGACGUUCAUGCCCGAAAGCGUGGGUAGCAAACAGGAUUAGAUACCCUGGUAGUCCACGCCCUAAACGAUGUCGAUUAGCUGUUGGGCAGCUUGACUGCUUAGUAGCGAAGCUAACGCGUGAAAUCGACCGCCUGGGGAGUACGGUCGCAAGAUUAAAACUCAAAGGAAUUGACGGGGACCCGCACAAGCGGUGGAUGAUGUGGAUUAAUUCGAUGCAACGCGAAGAACCUUACCUGGUCCUGACAUGUACGGAACCCUCCAGAGACGGAGGGGUGCCUUCGGGAGCCGUAACACAGGUGCUGCAUGGCUGUCGUCAGCUCGUGUCGUGAGAAG
RNAcentral lists this ribosomal RNA (524 nucleotides) under uncultured bacterium. RNAcentral describes it as "bacterial SSU rRNA". It matches the Rfam family "Bacterial small subunit ribosomal RNA", at positions 551 to 1074 of the family's 1533-position model. The record is from RNAcentral.